Molecule: ribosomal RNA, 446 nt
Filed under: uncultured Anaerostipes sp.
Lineage: Bacteria; Bacillati; Bacillota; Clostridia; Lachnospirales; Lachnospiraceae
Description: partial 16S ribosomal RNA
Source: RNAcentral
CACGUAGUUAGCCGGGGGCUUCUUAGUCAGGUACCGUCAUUAUCUUCCCUGCUGAUAGAGCUUUACAUACCGAAAUACUUCUUCACUCACGCGGCGUCGCUGCAUCAGGGUUCCCCCCAUUGUGCAAUAUUCCCCACUGCUGCCUCCCGUAGGAGUCUGGGCCGUGUCUCAGUCCCAAUGUGGCCGUUCACUCUCUCAAGCCGGCUACUGAUCGUCGCCUUGGUAAGCCCGUUACCUUACCAACCAGCUAAUCAGACGCGGGUCCAUCCCAUAGCGAUAAAUCUUUACAAAACAGGACCAUGCGGUCCCGCUUUCCCAUGCGGUAUUAGCAGCCGUUUCCAGCUGUUCGUCCCCCUCUAGUGGGGCACGGUUACCCACGCGUUACUCCACCCGUCCGCCACUCAGUCACUCCCAUAUCGUCCUUCCCUUUCCCCCAGUACCGAACG